RNAcentral lists this ribosomal RNA (750 nucleotides) under uncultured bacterium. RNAcentral's name for it is "bacterial SSU rRNA". It matches the Rfam family "Bacterial small subunit ribosomal RNA", at positions 41 to 787 of the family's 1533-position model. The record is from RNAcentral.
GGGGAGGAUAACUGGCAGUUCCACCGGAACUGAACUGAAACCUACGUGAUCUACAGGUUACGUGGCGGACGGGUGAGUAACGCGUGGAAAACCUGCCGUAUACUGGGGGAUAACACUUAGAAAUAGGUGCUAAUACCGCAUAAGCGCACAGGCCCGCAUGGGACAGUGUGAAAAACUCCGGUGGUAUACGAUGGUUCCGCGUCUGAUUAGCUUGUUGGCGGGGUAACGGCCCACCAAGGCGACGAUCAGUAGCCGGCCUGAGAGGGUGAACGGCCACAUUGGGACUGAGACACGGCCCAGACUCCUACGGGAGGCAGCGGUGGGGAAUAUUGCACAAUGGGGGAAACCCUGAUGCAGCGACGCCGCGUGAGUGAAGAAGUAUCUCGGUACGUAAAGCUCUAUCAGCAGGGAAGAAAAAAAGUCUUUGGCUUUGGACGGUACCUGACUAAGAAGCCCCGGCUAACUACGUGCCAGCAGCCGCGGUAAUACGUAGGGGGCAAGCGUUAUCCGGAUUUACUGGGUGUAAAGGGAGCGUAGACGGCAGCGCAAGUCUGGAGUGAAAUGCCGGGGCUCAACCCCGGAACUGCUUUGGAAACUGUGCAGCUAGAGUGCGGGAGAGGUAAGCGGAAUUCCUAGUGUAGCGGUGAAAUGCGUAGAUAUUAGGAGGGACACCAGUGGCGAAGGCGGCUUACUGGACCGUAACUGACGUUGAGGCUCGAAAGCGUGGGGAGCAAACAGGAUUANAUACCC